Molecule: RNA transcript, 1077 nt
Organism: Corticium candelabrum
Lineage: Eukaryota; Metazoa; Porifera; Homoscleromorpha; Homosclerophorida; Plakinidae
Gene name: proteasome subunit beta type-4-like
Exons: 10
Source: RefSeq, a predicted model, not a curated record
UACAUCCGGGCACUUGCUAACUGAAUUAUAAGCAAUGGACGACGGUAUUUUACCGUUCUGGCGUGACGGUCCCAUUCCGGGUUCGCUUCAUCAAUUUCCAGGAAGAACGAACGCGCAAGGAUUUAGAGAGCACACCCGUCAGCCAAUCGUGAUGGGAACGUCCGUGUUGGGCGUAAAAUUCGGUGACGGUGUGAUGGUGGCUGCGGAUACACUUGGCUCUUAUGGCUCUUUGGCUCGAUUUCGGUCUAUUUCUCGUUUCUUGAAAGUCAACAACGAGACACUAGUUGCCGCAUCUGGAGAUUACGCCGACUUUCAGUUGAUAGAGGAUAUUCUAAAGCAGAAAGUUCUGGAUGAUGAACUGUUGGUUGAUGAUCAGGGUUAUAGUCCUGCUUCCAUUUUCUCGUGGCUCACGCGAUUUCUGUACUACAGACGCUGCCGUUUGAAUCCCAUAUGGAAUACAUUCCUAGUUGCCGGCGUAAACAAAGGAGAGAGUUUUCUGGGACAAGUUGACAUGCUGGGUGUUGCAUACGAAAGUCCAACUAUCGCUACAGGAUAUGGUGCCUACAUAGCACGGCCAUUGCUACGGGACGCCUAUGAGAGAAAUGCUACGAUGAGCAGUGACGAGGCGAGACAGCUAUUGGAGCAAUGCCUGCGAGUUCUUUUUUAUAGAGAUGCUCGAUCACUAAACAAGUUUGAGAUUGCAACUAUAACACAAGACGGAGUGACCAUUGACCAUCCAAGAUCAGUAGAGACGUCUUGGGAGAUCGGGAAAAUGGUCAAAGGCUACGACUGAAUGAGAGACAACUCUGACUAGGAUAGAGACAAUAGGAGCAUGUUACUUGUGUGUGUUGUGCAUGUCACUCAUGUAGCUGUCUAUUGUCUCCAUGUUUGGGGUCUUUCGUGAUUGAGGAAGUUGGACUUUUGCAAAUGCCGACACGAGGACUUGACGUAGUGAUGUUAGUUGCUGCUCUAGUGCUGUGUUGUGUGAUUGUUGUUCUGUUGUUUCUUUCUCGAGACGGUCAAUGGCUGCUUUCAUGUUGCUGAUGUGUUUUUUGAGGAUGGAGUUUUGUUCUUCGA